CCCUUAGAUGUUCUGGGCCGCACGCGCGCUACACUGAUGCAUUCAACGAGUCCAACCUUGACCGAGAGGUCCGGGUAAUCUUUGAAACUGCAUCGUGAUGGGGCUAGAUUAUUGCAAUUAUUAAUCUUCAACGAGGAAUGCCUAGUAAGCGUGAUUCAUCAAAUCGCGUUGAUUACGUCCCUGCCCUUUGUACACACCGCCCGUCGCUCCUACCGAUUGAGUGUGUUGGUGAGGAGUUUGGAUUGGCCUCGGAAGGUGGUUCGCCACCGUCCGUAGCUGAGAAGUCCUCCAAACCGCCCCACUUAGAGGAAGGAGAAGUCGUAACA
This 326-nucleotide ribosomal RNA is filed under the name uncultured eukaryote. Its description in RNAcentral is "partial 18S ribosomal RNA". It matches the Rfam family "Eukaryotic small subunit ribosomal RNA", at positions 1470 to 1796 of the family's 1831-position model. The record is from RNAcentral.